AGGAUGAACGCUGGCGGCGUGCCUAAGACAUGCAAGUCGAGUGGGUUUAGACCCACGGCGAACGGGUGAGUAAUACCUAGGAACUUUUCUUGAGUGGAGCAUAACUCGCCGAAAGGCGAGAUAAUUCUCCAUGUGCCCGCAAGGGUAAAGUCGCAAGACGCUCAAGGUGAGGCCUGGGCACCAUCAGCUAGUUGGUAAGGUAACGGCUUACCAAGGCUAUGACGGUUAGGGGCCCCGAGAGGGGAAACCCCCACACUGGGACUGCGACACGGCCCAGACUCCUACGGGAGGCAGCAGUUUGGAAUUUUGGACAAUGGACGAAAGUCUGAUCCAGCGACGCCGCGUGGACGAUGAAGGCCUUCGGGUUGUAAAGUCCUUUGCUCGGGAACAAUUUUGAGCGUACCGAGAGAAUAAGAGGUUGCUAACUCUGCGCCAGCAGCCGC
This 443-nucleotide ribosomal RNA is filed under the name uncultured bacterium. RNAcentral describes it as "SSU rRNA". It matches the Rfam family "Bacterial small subunit ribosomal RNA", at positions 26 to 518 of the family's 1533-position model. The record is from RNAcentral.